GAUGAAGAACGCAGCGAAAUGCGAUAAGUAAUGUGAAUUGCAGAAUUCAGUGAAUCAUCGAAUCUUUGAACGCACAUUGCGCCCGCCAGUAUUCUGGCGGGCAUGCCUGUUCGAGCGUCAUUUCAGCCAUCAAGCCCCCCGGGCUUGUGUUGGGACCCGCGGCUGCCGCGGGCCCUGAAAGACAGUGGCGGUCUCGCUGUAGCACCGAGCGUAGUAGCAUACACCUCGCUCCGGUCGCGCGGCGGGCUUCCGGCCGUAAAAACCCCUAUAAUCAAAGGUUGACCUCGGAUCAGGUAGGAAUACCCGCUGAACUUAAGCAUAUCAAUAAGCGGAGGA
Molecule: unclassified non-coding RNA, 336 nt
Filed under: soil metagenome
Description: partial contains 5.8S ribosomal RNA, internal transcribed spacer 2, and large subunit ribosomal RNA
Rfam family: 5.8S ribosomal RNA (bases 1-120)
Source: RNAcentral